CCCACAGCAUCAUCACCAUGGUCUCCCUAUCAAUGACGGGUAACUUUCCUUUUGCCCAAGUGCUUCCGUGUGUUCCACUUCCAAGAGCUUUCCUUCAGUCCCUGCCCAGCACACAUCCCCUCCAGCCUCCUCCCCAUCUUCCUGCUUCCCCAGAUGGCUAUGGAUUCUGGUCUUCAUCUGCUACAUUUCAACACAUCCCAGCCGGCUUCCACCCCCACCAUGCACAGUCUUAACAACUACCAUCAACAACAUCUACUAAUGAUUUGUGAAUCUAAAUUCUUGGGAACACUCAGUUCUCUGGCCCAAUUUGUUCUGAAGCAGGUGAAGAUUCAAGGACAUACUGAACUUACCUGUGAAGCCCAAUUUUACCACUGCUUAGCUGUGUAACUUCAGACAAGUUCCAUAACCUCUCUGUGCUGCUUUCUGCAUCUAUAAAAAGUAGCAAACCUACAUGAUUUCUGGAG
RNAcentral lists this long non-coding RNA (464 nucleotides) under Capra hircus (goat). RNAcentral's name for it is "lncRNA (ENSCHIG00000007583.1)". Lineage: Eukaryota; Metazoa; Chordata; Mammalia; Artiodactyla; Bovidae. The record is from RNAcentral.